This 382-nucleotide unclassified non-coding RNA is filed under the name uncultured Elusimicrobia bacterium. RNAcentral describes it as "contains 16S-23S intergenic spacer region". Lineage: Bacteria; Pseudomonadati; Elusimicrobiota; Elusimicrobia. The record is from RNAcentral.
UCCUUCUUAUCGAAGGCAGUUUCUCAAGAGUGCAUCCCUUGCGGGAUUAGCAACAUGAGAUGGGGGUUGCGCUCGUUGCGGGACUUAACCCAACAUCUCACGACACGAGCUGACGACAACCAUGCAGCACCUCUGCUCGCUCCCUUGCGGGUCGGCCAAUGUUUCUAUCGGCCUACCACGAGUAGUUCAAGCCCAGGUAAGGUUCUUCGCGUUGCGUCGAAUUAAACCACAUGCUCCACCGCUUGUGCGGGCCCCCGUCAAUUCCUUUGAGUUUCAACCUUGCGGCCGUACUCCCCAGGCGGUUCAUUUAAUGCGUUAGCGCCGACGCGGAAGGGGUCGAUACCUCCCACAUCUAAUGAACAUCGUUUAGGGCUAGGACUAC